This 103-nucleotide ribosomal RNA is filed under the name Priestia megaterium. Lineage: Bacteria; Bacillati; Bacillota; Bacilli; Caryophanales; Bacillaceae. The record is from RNAcentral.
UGGUGGCGAUAGCGAAGAGGUCACACCCGUUCCCAUACCGAACACGGAAGUUAAGCUCUUUAGCGCCAAUGGUAGUUGGGACUUUGUCCCUGUGAGAGUAGGA